RNAcentral lists this ribosomal RNA (497 nucleotides) under uncultured bacterium. RNAcentral's name for it is "partial 16S ribosomal RNA". It matches the Rfam family "Bacterial small subunit ribosomal RNA", at positions 28 to 507 of the family's 1533-position model. The record is from RNAcentral.
GAUGAACGCUGGCGGCGUGCCUAAUACAUGCAAGUCGAACGCAUAGCGAAAGGUGCUUGCACCUUUCAAGUGAGUGGCGAACGGGUGAGUAACACGUGGACAACCUGCCUCAAGGCUGGGGAUAACAUUUGGAAACAGAUGCUAAUACCGAAUAAAACUUAGUGUCGCAUGACACAAAGUUAAAAGGCGCUUCGGCGUCACCUAGAGAUGGAUCCGCGGUGCAUUAGUUAGUUGGUGGGGUAAAGGCCUACCAAGACAAUGAUGCAUAGCCGAGUUGAGAGACGGAUCGGCCACAUUGGGACUGAGACACGGCCCAAACUCCUACGGGAGGCUGCAGUAGGGAAUCUUCCACAAUGGGCGAAAGCCUGAUGGAGCAACGCCGCGUGUGUGAUGAAGGCUUUCGGGUCGUAAAGCACUGUUGUAUGGGAAGAACAGCUAGAAUAGGAAAUGAUUUUAGUUUGACGGUACCAUACCAGAAAGGGACGGCUAAAUACGUG